UACUGAUUAUCUUGAGUUAUUAUGAAGUAGUUAGAAUAUGUAGUGUAGCGGUGAAAUGCAUAGAUAUUACAUAGAAUACCAAUUGCGAAGGCAGAUUACUAAUAAUCAACUGACACUGAUGGACGAAAGCGUGGGUAGCGAACAGGAUUAGAUACCCUGGUAGUCCACGCCGUAAACGAUGGUUACUAGCUGUUUGGACCUUGUGUCUGAGUGGCUAAGCGAAAGUGAUAAGUAACCCACCUGGGGAGUACGUUCGCAAGAAUGAAACUCAAAGGAAUUGACGGGGGCCCGCACAAGCGGUGGAGCAUGUGGUUUAAUUCGAUGAUACGCGAGGAACCUUACCAGGGCUUAAAUGUAAGUUGCAUUAGUUAGAGAUAGCUAUUUCUUCGGACCACUUACAAGGUGCUGCAUGGUUGUCGUCAGCUCGUGCCGUGAAGUGUCAGGUUAAGUCCUAUAACGAGCGCAACCCCUGUUGUUAGUUGCCAGCGAUUCAAGUCGGGAACUCUAACAAGACUGCCAGUGCAAACUGUGAGGAAGGUGGGGAUGACGUCAAAUCAUCACGGCCCUUACGUCCUGGGCUACACACGUGCUACAAUGGUAGGGACAGAGAGCAGCCACUACGCGAGUAGGAGCGAAUCUAUAAACCCUAUCACAGUUUCGGAUC
This 664-nucleotide ribosomal RNA is filed under the name uncultured bacterium. RNAcentral describes it as "bacterial SSU rRNA". It matches the Rfam family "Bacterial small subunit ribosomal RNA", at positions 631 to 1299 of the family's 1533-position model. The record is from RNAcentral.